Molecule: non-coding RNA, 281 nt
Organism: Notechis scutatus (mainland tiger snake)
Lineage: Eukaryota; Metazoa; Chordata; Lepidosauria; Squamata; Elapidae
Source: RefSeq, a predicted model, not a curated record
GUCUGUCCACACUUCGAACGGAAUGUCACUGCCCUCUAAAAAUUGUCUCCAAGUUUGUAAAGCCCAACGAACUGCAUAAGCUUCUUUUUCCCAUACAGCCCACCUUCUUUCAGUGUCUGUGAGUUUUUUGGACGUAUAUGCACAGGGUUGCAGAUUUCCAUUAUCAUUUUUCUGGAGUAGAACUGGUGGCACUGCUAUGUCGCUAGCGUCUGCUUGCACUAUAAAAGGCAAAGCUGGGUAAGGAUGUUUUAGAAUGGGUUCCUGUGCGAGAUCCAGGAUAA